Molecule: non-coding RNA, 196 nt
Organism: Arachis ipaensis
Lineage: Eukaryota; Viridiplantae; Streptophyta; Magnoliopsida; Fabales; Fabaceae
Source: RefSeq, a predicted model, not a curated record
UAAAAAAUCUAAAUACUGGCUUGCAUUUUCGGCUACUGUCUCGCCACUCGGUUUUAGCACUUACUAUGUAUCUAAAGCUAAACAAGCAGCUACUAUUUCAGAGACAAAUACACCUUACAAAUCAAGGAAUCAGAAGGAUACAAUUGAAGUUGGUCCAGGAAACUUGAAACUGAUUUAUUCCGAGAAGGAAGAAAAA